UGUGGCUCAUUUGCAACCACACUCGCGUGUUAAUAGCCGGGUUUCAUUGGCCGAAACACGGUGGUUAGUGAAUC
Molecule: non-coding RNA, 74 nt
Submitted as: unclassified sequences
Source: Rfam